RNAcentral lists this small RNA (2075 nucleotides) under Pongo abelii (Sumatran orangutan). RNAcentral's name for it is "processed transcript". Lineage: Eukaryota; Metazoa; Chordata; Mammalia; Primates; Hominidae. The record is from RNAcentral.
GAGUUUCGGAGGCGGUGACCGUGACGUAGAAGGUGGAGAACGCUUCACCCUGACCAGGGAGGAUCGGCUGCGGGGGCGUAAGGCAUCCAGGAGUGACGUGGGGCUGUGGAGAGCGACCCGUGGCCUUGUGUUUCAGAGUUUACCACCUAGGAUGACAUCAGUGACUAGAUCAGAGAUCAUAGAUGAAAAAGGACCAGUGAUGUCUAAGACUCAUGAUCAUCAAUUGGAAUCAAGUCUCAGUCCUGUGGAAGUGUUUGCUAAAACAAUCUGCCAGUUAUCAAGACAGGAGGCAAUCCUGGCGGCGAGCAAGUAUGAAAGAAACGAACCGGCGGAAGUCGCUGCAUCCCAUUCACCAGGGCAUCACAGAGCUCAGCCGGUCUAUCAGUGUCGAUUUAGCAGAAAGCAAACGGCUUGGCUGUCUCCUGCUUUCCAGUUUCCAGUUCUCUAUUCAGAAACUUGAACCUUUCCUAAGGGACACUAAGGGCUUCAGUCUUGAAAGUUUUAGAGCCAAAGCAUCUUCUCUUUCUGAAGAAUUGAAACAUUUUGCAGACGGACUGGAAACUGAUGGAACUCUACAAAAAUGUUUUGAAGAUUCAAAUGGAAAAGCAUCAGAUUUUUCUCUGGAAGCAUCUGUGGCUGAGAUGAAGGAAUACAUAACAAAGUUUUCUUUAGAACGUCAGACUUGGGAUCAGCUCUUGCUUCACUACCAGCAGGAGGCUGAAGAGAUAUUGUCCAGAGGAUCAACUGAGGCCAAAAUUACUGAGGUCAAAGUGGAGCCUAUGACAUAUCUUGAGUCUUCUCAGAAUGAAGUUCUUAAUACAAAACCUGACUACCAGAAAAUAUUACAGAACCAGAGCAAAGUCUUUGAUUGUAUGGAGUUGGUGAUGGAUGAGCUGCAAGGAUCAGUGAAACAGCUGCAGGCCUUUAUGGAUGAAAGUACCCAGUGCUUCCAGAAGGUGUCAGUACAGCUCGGGAAGAGAAGCAUGCAACAAUUAGAUCCCUCACCAGCUCGAAAACUGUUGAAGCUUCAGCUACAGAACCCACCUGCCACACAUGGAUCUGGAUCUGGAUCUUGUCAGUGACUUUGUGAGAGUUUCUGCCACAAGGUGCCCAAGAGGAGAGGAAUGGGAAGAGUGCCCCAGCACGUGGUGACUGCGUGAUUUCUCCUCAUUGACUUUGAAGAUAACUGGCAGGACUGACUGUAGAGCACUUUGACUUUUUUCAAAAAGUGAUGGAAUUUGUACAUCCAAAUGAAUAUUGUAUAGACAUUUUUCCCAGGAAUGUGCAAAAUGCUUGAAAGUUCAAACUUCUUUUUUGAAAUGAUCUUCAGAUCCAGUGGCCCAUUCUUUUAUCUUUAUCCUGUGAAGGUGUUUUUCAGGUUUUGAAACAAUCCAAAAAUCAUUUAGGACCAAGUCUAAGGAAACAUUUUAGUGGCCAAGUUGGAUUCUGGUUGUAAAGGAAUGAUACUAAUUUUCUAGCAUGGCUCUGAAGGUGAUUUUAGGUAGAAGAGUUUUGAGGCUGUGCGCAAUGGCUCACGCCUGUAAUCCUAGCACUUUGGGAGACUUAGGCGGGUGGAUUGCUUGAGCCCAGAAGUUGAAGACCAGCCUGAGAAAUAAGGUGAAACCCUGUCUACAGAAAAUACAAAAAGUUAGCUGGGUGUGGUGGCGUGCACCUGUAGUGCUAGCUACUCAGAAGGCUGAGGUGGGAGGAUUGUUUGAGCCCAGGAGGUUGAGGCUGCAGUGAGUUCUAAUUGCGCCACUGCACUCCAGCCUGAGGGACAGAGUGAGACACUGUCUUUAAAAAAAUUAAAAAUUGUAAAAAAAUGAAAAAAGUUUUGAGUAUUUUUUGCAUCAUUGGGAUACAUAUGUCACUUCACAAGAUGUUCAAUUUGAAGGAAAUACCACUCAUUCCCUAUGUCCUGUUGUCUGUAGUGUGCUUCAGUUUUUAAUAUUGAGUUGACCUCCUAAAUCCUGGAUUCAUGACAAGAAAGGAGUAAGUACUACUAUUCAUUGUUCUAUUUGUUUAUAAUCUGUAUUGUAAAAUUGCACAUAAUUAAAAGCUUUCCCUUGUCUUUG